RNAcentral lists this ribosomal RNA (433 nucleotides) under uncultured bacterium. RNAcentral describes it as "partial 16S ribosomal RNA". It matches the Rfam family "Bacterial small subunit ribosomal RNA", at positions 29 to 507 of the family's 1533-position model. The record is from RNAcentral.
AACGAACGCUGGCGGCAGGCUUAACACAUGCAAGUCGAGCGAGACCUUCGGGUCUAGCGGCGGACGGGUGAGUAACGCGUGGGAACGUGCCCUUCUCUACGGAAUAGCCCCGGGAAACUGGGAGUAAUACCGUAUACGCCCUUUGGGGGAAAGAUUUAUCGGAGAAGGAUCGGCCCGCGUUGGAUUAGGUAGUUGGUGGGGUAAUGGCCCACCAAGCCGACGAUCCAUAGCUGGUUUGAGAGAAUGAUCAGCCACACUGGGACUGAGACACGGCCCAGACUCCUACGGGAGGCAGCAGUGGGGAAUCUUAGACAAUGGGGGCAACCCUGAUCUAGCCAUGCCGCGUGAGUGAUGAAGGCCUUAGGGUUGUAAAGCUCUUUCAGCUGGGAAGAUAAUGACGGUACCAGCAGAAGAAGCCCCGGCUAACUCCGUG